RNAcentral lists this transfer RNA (65 nucleotides) under Blattisocius keegani. Its description in RNAcentral is "tRNA-Val". Lineage: Eukaryota; Metazoa; Arthropoda; Arachnida; Mesostigmata; Blattisociidae. The record is from RNAcentral.
AAAAAUAUAAUCUAAUUAAGAUAUAUCAUUUACAUUGAUAGUAAGAUUAAAAAAAUCUAUUUUUA